UACGGGGGGGGCAAGCGUUGUUCGGAAUUACUGGGCGUAAAGGGCUCGUAGGUGGCCAACUAAGUCAGACGUGAAAUCCCUCGGCUUAACCGGGGAACUGCGUCUGAUACUGGAUGGCUUGAGUUCGGGAGAGGGAUGCGGAAUUCCAGGUGUAGCGGUGAAAUGCGUAGAUAUUCGCAAGAACACCAGUGGCGAAGGCGGCUCACUGGCCCGGUACUGACGCUGAGGUGCGAAAGCGUGGGGAGCAAACAGG
This 253-nucleotide ribosomal RNA is filed under the name uncultured bacterium. RNAcentral's name for it is "partial 16S ribosomal RNA". It matches the Rfam family "Bacterial small subunit ribosomal RNA", at positions 524 to 776 of the family's 1533-position model. The record is from RNAcentral.